AAUACCCGGUUUUGACCACAGGAGGGCAGUGUUUCCCGUCCCAUAGCAUUAACAUGGAGGCCGUCGUAGGCCCUUUGCCCAGGAUCGGGACACCGAGAAGCUAAGCCCCAAAGCGCAGAGGGUCAGCCAAAGGAUCGCCGCUCUAUGCUCCUGCGAAAGGGACGGGCCGCUUCCCUCGGCGUUCUGCGCAUGUCCGCCGGCUGGUUCUUUACGGAUACUCUCCGAGAGGCCCUCUCUGCACGAAGGACUUCCUGUCCGUGGGUGUCGGCCGUCCCCCAGGUCCUGCGGUAAAAGGACCUUUGCAUCAUAGCCGACUUCCGUUCCUUCGUUCUUAAUCUUUCCCCCUACUUCCUUUCGUGGAGACCUUCUCAGCAUGGCUCAAGUUCGCCGUCCUCCAUUGUCUUUGAAAUGCGACCUUCCCAACAUGGCCGCCUUCCGGUCCGUCCUUCUUAAUCAUCCUUCAUCUUCCUUUUGCGGGGACCUUCUGGGGUGGGCGGACUCCACGUCCGAUCAACGAGCGACCGCAAUAUCCGUUUUUGACCAAAGGAGGGCACAGUUUUCCGUCCCGUAGCAUGACCAACGACGACGACGUUCCCAGUACGUCCGACUUCCUGUCCAUCCGCCGAGGCCGUCCCCAACUUCCUGUCCGUUCGCAGGACGGUUCCCUGCUUUUUCCCGUCCUCUUUUCUGCAUUACGUUGACUGAGGCCGCAGGAAGGAAAAAAGGAAGCCUGCUACUGCCUCAGCUCCUUUUUAGAUGCGGGGCCGGCGGGGCACGCUCAAGGCUUUUGGCGUCCGGGUCGGGAAGGGGGUUCCGACCCGUCUCGGGGGUCUCCUCGAAGGCUGCCAAGCAAGGCAGCCGUUGAAUGGUGUUUUCCCAGCGCCAGAGUCCCAGAUGUAGAAGAA
Molecule: long non-coding RNA, 905 nt
Organism: Crotalus tigris (Tiger rattlesnake)
Lineage: Eukaryota; Metazoa; Chordata; Lepidosauria; Squamata; Viperidae
Exons: 3
Source: RefSeq, a predicted model, not a curated record